UUGGAGGUUGUGCCCUUGAGGCGUGGCUUCCGGAGCUAACGCGUUAAGUCGACCGCCUGGGGAGUACGGCCGCAAGGUUAAAACUCAAAUGAAUUGACGGGGGCCCGCACAAGCGGUGGAGCAUGUGGUUUAAUUCGAUGCAACGCGAAGAACCUUACCUACUCUUGACAUCCAGAGAACUUUCCAGAGAUGGAUUGGUGCCUUCGGGAACUCUGAGACAGGUGCUGCAUGGCUGUCGUCAGCUCGUGUUGUGAAAUGUUGGGUUAAGUCCCGCAACGAGCGCAACCCUUAUCCUUUGUUGCCAGCGGUCCGGCCGGGAACUCAAAGGAGACUGCCAGUGAUAAACUGGAGGAAGGUGGGGAUGACGUCAAGUCAUCAUGGCCCUUACGAGUAGGGCUACACACGUGCUACAAUGGCGCAUACAAAGAGAAGCGACCUCGCGAGAGCAAGCGGACCUCAUAAAGUGCGUCGUAGUCCGGAUUGGAGUCUGCAACUCGACUCCAUGAAGUCGGAAUCGCUAGUAAUCGUAGAUCAGAAUGCUACGGUGAAUACGUUCCCGGGCCUUGUACACACCGCCCGUCACACCAUGGGAGUGGGUUGCAAAAGAAGUAGGUAGCUUAACCUUCGGGAGGGCGCUUACCACUUUGUGAUUCAUGACUGGGGUGAAGUCGUAA
RNAcentral lists this ribosomal RNA (674 nucleotides) under Enterobacter sp. ZYY88. RNAcentral's name for it is "bacterial SSU rRNA". It matches the Rfam family "Bacterial small subunit ribosomal RNA", at positions 817 to 1491 of the family's 1533-position model. The record is from RNAcentral. Lineage: Bacteria; Pseudomonadati; Pseudomonadota; Gammaproteobacteria; Enterobacterales; Enterobacteriaceae.